Molecule: long non-coding RNA, 590 nt
Organism: Priapulus caudatus
Lineage: Eukaryota; Metazoa; Priapulida; Priapulimorpha; Priapulimorphida; Priapulidae
Exons: 2
Source: RefSeq, a predicted model, not a curated record
GUACCCAGGAGUCUAGCGCACCGCUGCGGCGUCGUCCAGGGAGACCGCAUCAAGAAGAUCGGCCAGGAGGACACGAAGAAGAUGACGCUAGAGUAUGCUAAGUCUCUGCUGGCGAAGCCCGAGUCAGCUCUGCCGAUGACGCUAGAACGGACUUAAUGGCAGCGUCGGAAGACAAGUCACUGGAGGGAUGUGGAUGCCUACGGAUGCAUGGACGAGCGCAGGUCAAAAUGAUUAAUCGCCUUUGUUAUUAAAUAUACCAUCGUAUCCACGAUCUACGCUUUAAUAAAUAAUUCAUUAUCAUUCUACAUUUUUAUUUCUUGUCACGCGCGAUAUCUCGUUAUUGCAAUGUUCGUUAUAGUUUAGACCUGGAAAUCAGUGAUUUAUCUAUCAUCGUAUCAAGAGCGUAUAAAGAAGCCUUUUUGGCUUAAGCUUUUUCUUUAAGCUUUUUUUCUUAGCCCUUCUUUAUACGCUCUUGAUCGUAUGUGUCGGUACGAAAAUUUAAAUCAUUUGGUGAUGUGUUCUUGGCUGAAAGGUUAAACGAUCAUUCAUAUAAUGUAUUUAUCUUUAAUAAACAUCGGUAUAUAUUGACA